RNAcentral lists this small nucleolar RNA (95 nucleotides) under Drosophila virilis. Its description in RNAcentral is "snoRNA:GJ25380". Lineage: Eukaryota; Metazoa; Arthropoda; Insecta; Diptera; Drosophilidae. The record is from RNAcentral.
GCGCUUUGCGUGGGCCAGAGAAAAUAUGAUAUUCCGUUUAAUCAUAGACUAAAAUCGGUGCUCAAUACCUUAGCCUAUUUCAUGCCCGGAAUACA